CUUUACUAUAGCUUUGCAUUGGACCUUGAUUAAGUCUGUGUAGGAUAGGUGGGAGAUGAUGAUCUGCACUCGCUAGAGUGUAGGGAGUCGACCUUGAAAUACCACCCUGACUUGAUUGAAGUUCUAACGUUGGACCGUAAUCCGGUUCGCAGACAGUGUAUGGUGGGUAGUUUGACUGGGGCGGUCUCCUCCUAAAGAGUAACGGAGGAGCGCGAAGGUACCCUCGGCAUGGUCGGAAAUCAUGCUAUGAGUGCAAAAGCAGAAGGGUGCUUGACUGUGAGACUGACGGGUCGAACAGGAACGAAAGUUGGCUUUAGUGAUCCGGUGGUUCUGUAUGGAAGGGCCAUCGCUCAACGGAUAAAAGGUA
Molecule: ribosomal RNA, 367 nt
Filed under: uncultured organism
Description: bacterial LSU rRNA
Rfam family: Bacterial large subunit ribosomal RNA
Source: RNAcentral